This 83-nucleotide non-coding RNA is filed under the name uncultured Micromonas. The record is from RNAcentral. Lineage: Eukaryota; Viridiplantae; Chlorophyta; Mamiellophyceae; Mamiellales.
GGAGGAACAGUCCCAAAGAGAACAGGCCGCCGCGCGCGCCGCCGCGGACGUGUCGCGCAAGGCGAAGGAUGCAAAGGCGGCGG